This 1490-nucleotide ribosomal RNA is filed under the name uncultured bacterium. RNAcentral describes it as "16S ribosomal RNA". It matches the Rfam family "Bacterial small subunit ribosomal RNA". The record is from RNAcentral.
AGAGUUUGAUCCUGGCUCAGGAUGAACGCUAGCUACAGGCUUAACACAUGCAAGUCGAGGGGCAGCAUGGUCUUAGCUUGCUAAGGCCGAUGGCGACCGGCGCACGGGUGAGUAACACGUAUCCAACCUGCCUUAUACUCCCGGACAGCCUUCUGAAAGGAAGAUUAAUACGGGAUGGUAUCACGAGCCAGCAUUUUCUCGUGAUUAAAGAACUUCGGUAUAAGAUGGGGAUGCGUUCCAUUAGAUAGUAGGCGGGGUAACGGCCCACCUAGUCUACGAUGGAUAGGGGUUCUGAGAGGAAGGUCCCCCACAUUGGAACUGAGACACGGUCCAAACUCCUACGGGAGGCAGCAGUGAGGAAUAUUGGUCAAUGGGCGCGAGCCUGAACCAGCCAAGUAGCGUGAAGGAUGACUGCCCUACGGGUUGUAAACUUCUUUUAUAAAGGAAUAAAGUGAGGCACGUGUGCCUUUUUGUAUGUACUUUAUGAAUAAGGAUCGGCUAACUCCGUGCCAGCAGCCGCGGUAAUACGGAGGAUCCGAGCGUUAUCCGGAUUUAUUGGGUUUAAAGGGAGCGUAGAUGGGUUGUUAAGUCAGUUGUGAAAGUUUGCGGCUCAACCGUAAAAUUGCAAUUGAUACUGGCAGCCUUGAGUACAGUUGAGGUAGGCGGAAUUCGUGGUGUAGCGGUGAAAUGCUUAGAUAUCACGAAGAACUCCGAUUGCGAAGGCAGCCUACUAAACUGCCACUGACAUUGAUGCUCGAAAGUGUGGGUAUCAAACAGGAUUAGAUACCCUGGUAGUCCACACGGUAAACGAUGAAUACUCGCUGUUUGCGAUACACGGCAAGCGGCCAAGCGAAAGCGUUAAGUAUUCCACCUGGGGAGUACGCCGGCAACGGUGAAACUCAAAGGAAUUGACGGGGGCCCGCACAAGCGGAGGAACAUGUGGUUUAAUUCGAUGAUACGCGAGGAACCUUACCCGGGCUUGAAUUGCACUCGAAUAUAGCGGAAACGUUAUAGCUAGCAAUAGCGAGUGUGAAGGUGCUGCAUGGUUGUCGUCAGCUCGUGCCGUGAGGUGUCGGCUUAAGUGCCAUAACGAGCGCAACCCUUGUCUAUAGUUACUAACAGGUGAUGCUGAGGACUCUAUGGAGACUGCCAUCGUAAGAUGUGAGGAAGGUGGGGAUGACGUCAAAUCAGCACGGCCCUUACGUCCGGGGCCACACACGUGUUACAAUGGGGGGUACAGAGGGCCGCUACCACGCAAGUGGAUGCCAAUCCCGAAAGCCUCUCUCAGUUCGGACUGGAGUCUGCAACCCGACUCCACGAAGCUGGAUUCGCUAGUAAUCGCGCAUCAGCCAUGGCGCGGUGAAUACGUUCCCGGGCCUUGUACACACCGCCCGUCAAGCCAUGGGAGCCGGGGGUACCUGAAGUGCGUAACCGCAAGGAGCGCCCUAGGGUAAAACUGGUGACUGGGGCUAAGUCGUAACAAGGUAACC